UCCAGGGUGGCUCAAUGGGUAAAGAACCUGCCUGAAAUGCAGGAGAUGCAGGAGAUGUGGGUUCGAUUCCUGUGUCAGGAA
This 81-nucleotide transfer RNA is filed under the name Bos taurus (domestic cattle). It matches the Rfam family "tRNA". Rfam says of the family: Transfer RNA (tRNA) molecules are approximately 80 nucleotides in length. Their secondary structure includes four short double-helical elements and three loops (D, anti-codon, and T loops). RNAcentral also lists the same sequence under 4 other names. The record is from Rfam by way of RNAcentral. Lineage: Eukaryota; Metazoa; Chordata; Mammalia; Artiodactyla; Bovidae.